Molecule: ribosomal RNA, 470 nt
Filed under: uncultured bacterium
Lineage: Bacteria
Description: partial 16S ribosomal RNA
Rfam family: Bacterial small subunit ribosomal RNA (bases 57-470)
Source: RNAcentral
GGGGGGGGGGGGGGGGGGGGGGGGGGGGGGCGGGGGGGGGGGGGGAGCGGGGGCGGGCGGGGGGGGAGGAGUGGCGGACGGGUGAGUAAUACGUGAGUGACCUGCGCUGGACGCUGGGAUAAGCCCGGGAAACGGGGUCGAAGACUGGAUGCUCCAUGUCACCGCAUGGUGGGGUGUGGGAAGGGGUUACUGGUCUUGGGUGGGCUCACGGCCUAUCAGCUUGUUGGUGAGGUACUGGCGCACCAAGGCGACGACGGGUAGCCGGCCUGAGAGGGUGACCGGCCACACUGGGACUGAGACACGGCCCAGACUCCUACGGGAGGCAGCAGUGGGGAAUAUUGCACAAUGGGCGAAAGCCUGAUGCAGCGACGCCGCGUGAGGGAUGACGGCCUUCGGGUUGUAAACCUCUUUCAGCAGGGAAGAAGCCACAAGUGACGGUACCUGCAGAAGAAGCGCCGGCUAACUACGUG